UGCCCUGGCAGUGGGCAAAGAGACACCUUGUUGGUAGUGCUGUUCUUAUAUCACUCAGGAACAGAGCAAAUGGCAGUCCGUUGGUCAUCCUAGACCGAUGCCUGGCUUGAUGGCCAAAGCUCCUUUACGCCUAGGACCCAUAA
This is a small nucleolar RNA of Acomys russatus (golden spiny mouse), 143 nucleotides long. RefSeq annotates it as small nucleolar RNA SNORA48. The transcript has a single exon. Lineage: Eukaryota; Metazoa; Chordata; Mammalia; Rodentia; Muridae. The record is from RefSeq and is a predicted model, not a curated record.